UGGAAUUCUACUUUCUUAAGAGAUUUCCUAUUCCUUAUGCUCUCUAUCUUAUAUGUGUGUCUAUAUUAGCCGGAUUUUGGGGGCAGUUCUUCGUGAGGAAACUAGUGAAGUUGCUCAAAAGAGCAUCCAUUAUCGUCUUCAUCCUCUCUGCAGUAAUCUUCGCCAGUGCGAUAACCAUGGGUGUUGUUGGUGCUGAGAAGAGCAUGUCAAUGAUCGAG
This 218-nucleotide unclassified non-coding RNA is filed under the name Hevea brasiliensis (rubber tree). Lineage: Eukaryota; Viridiplantae; Streptophyta; Magnoliopsida; Malpighiales; Euphorbiaceae. The record is from RNAcentral.